This 443-nucleotide ribosomal RNA is filed under the name Fusobacterium periodonticum. RNAcentral describes it as "bacterial SSU rRNA". It matches the Rfam family "Bacterial small subunit ribosomal RNA", at positions 28 to 497 of the family's 1533-position model. Lineage: Bacteria; Fusobacteriati; Fusobacteriota; Fusobacteriia; Fusobacteriales; Fusobacteriaceae. The record is from RNAcentral.
GAUGAACGCUGACAGAAUGCUUAACACAUGCAAGUCUACUUGAACUUCGGUUUGGGUGCGGACGGGUGAGUAACGCGUAAAGAACUUGCCUCACAGUUAGGGACAACAUUUGGAAACGAAUGCUAAUACCUGAUAUUAUGAUUUUAGGGCAUCCUAAGAUUAUGAAAGUUAUAUACGCUGUGAGAGAGCUUUGCGUCCCAUUAGCUAGUUGGAGAGGUAACGGCUCACCAAGGCGAUGAUGGGUAGCCGGCCUGAGAGGGUGAACGGCCACAAGGGGACUGAGACACGGCCCUUACUCCUACGGGAGGCAGCAGUGGGGAAUAUUGGACAAUGGACCAAAAGUCUGAUCCAGCAAUUCUGUGUGCACGAUGACGUUUUUCGGAAUGUAAAGUGCUUUCAGUUGGGAAGAAAAAAAUGACGGUACCAACAGAAGAAGUGACGGC